AAGAAGUUACAUCUGUCCACACAGAAAAUUGCAUCUCAACAAACCUGUCAUUGGUACGCGAACUGCAUUUUAGUCACUCAGUAAAGUGAUAACUCAAAAUAUCAUUGUCAACAGAUCUGGAGAAAUUGCCACUGCGUCUUUAGACCGUUUUCGUCAGACGAGAGACACAGUUCUGACUAUGAUUACUGGUUGCUGUACGUAUCUAUCCACAUUAAGGCUGUUGAAAGAGACUCGAGAAGAUUCAAGACAGCUCUUAGAAGAUUUUGCAGUUUAAAAGUGACGUAAUUGUGAAAUAAGUGUGCAGAUGAGUGAUUAAACUGUGUUUUAU
This is a long non-coding RNA of Schistocerca serialis cubense, 328 nucleotides long. RefSeq lists it as uncharacterized. NCBI's taxonomy places the organism in Eukaryota, Metazoa, Arthropoda, Insecta, Orthoptera, Acrididae. The transcript has 3 exons. The record is from RefSeq and is a predicted model, not a curated record.